GAUGAACGCUGGCGGCGUGCCUAAUACAUGCAAGUCGAGCGAACGGACGAGAAGCUUGCUUCUCUGAUGUUAGCGGCGGACGGGUGAGUAACACGUGGAUAACCUACCUAUAAGACUGGGAUAACUUCGGGAAACCGUAGCUAAUACCGGAUAAUAUUUUGAACCGCAUGGUUCAAAAGUGAAAGACGGUCUUGCUGUCACUUAUAGAUGGAUCCGCGCUGCAUUAGCUAGUUGGUAAGGUAACGGCUUACCAGGCAACGAUGCAUAGCCGACCUGAGAGGGUGAUCGGCCACACUGGAACUGAGGCACGGUCCAGACUCCUACGGGAGGCAGCAGUAGGGAAUCUUCCGCAAUGGGCGAAAGCCUGACGGAGCAACGCCGCGUGAGUGAUGAAGGUCUUCGGAUCGUAAAACUCUGUUAUUAGGGAAGAACAUAUGUGUAAGUAACUGUGCACAUCUUGACGGUACCUAAUCAGAAAGCCACGGCUAACUACGUG
Molecule: ribosomal RNA, 496 nt
Filed under: uncultured bacterium
Lineage: Bacteria
Description: partial 16S ribosomal RNA
Rfam family: Bacterial small subunit ribosomal RNA
Source: RNAcentral